GAUUCUGGCUCAGGAUGAACGCUGGCGGCGUGCUUAACACAUGCAAGUCGAACGGAGUUUUAACGGAAGUUUCGGAUGGAAGUUAGAACUAGUGGCGGACGGGUGAGUAACGCGUGGGUAACCUGCCUCAUACAGGGGGAUAACAGUUAGAAAUGACUGCUAACACCGCAUAAUAUAGCGAAACCGCAUGAUUUUGCUAUCAAAUAUUUAUAGGUAUGAGAUGGGCCCGCGUCUGAUUAGCUAGUUGGUGGGGUAAAGGCCUACCAAGGCGACGAUCAGUAGCCGGCUUGAGAGAGUGACCGGCCACAUUGGGACUGAGACACGGCCCAAACUCCUACGGGAGGCAGCAGUGGGGAAUAUUGGACAAUGGGGGAAACCCUGAUCCAGCGAACCGCCGCGUGAGUGAAGAAGUAUUUCGGUAUGUAAAGCUCUAUCAGCAGGGAAGAUAAUGACAGUACCUGACUAAGAAGCCCCGGCUAACUACGUGCCAGCCGCUGC
Molecule: ribosomal RNA, 498 nt
Filed under: uncultured bacterium
Lineage: Bacteria
Description: bacterial SSU rRNA
Rfam family: Bacterial small subunit ribosomal RNA
Source: RNAcentral